This 237-nucleotide ribosomal RNA is filed under the name uncultured bacterium. Its description in RNAcentral is "partial 16S ribosomal RNA". It matches the Rfam family "Bacterial small subunit ribosomal RNA", at positions 99 to 334 of the family's 1533-position model. The record is from RNAcentral.
CGGACGGGUGAGUAAUGAAUCGCUAACGUACCCCAGAGUCUGGGAUAGCCGGCCGAAAGGCCGGGUAAUACCAGAUUAAAUGACCCUUGGGCAUCCUCGGGUCCUCAAAGUAGCAAUACGCUUUGGGAGCGGGCGAUUUCGUAUCAGCUAGUUGGUGGGGUAACGGCCCACCAAGGCGACGACGCGUAGCCGGACUGAGAGGUUGGCCGGCCACAUUGGGACUGAGACACUGCCCAG